GAUGAACGCUAGCUACAGGCUUAACACAUGCAAGUCGAGGGGAAACGAUAUUGGAAGCUUGCUUCCGAUAGGCGUCGACCGGCGCACGGGUGAGUAACGCGUAUCCAACCUGCCCACCACAUGGGGAUAACCUUGCGAAAGUAAGACUAAUACCCAAUGAUAUCUCUAGAAGACAUCUGAAGGCGAUUAAAGAUUUAUCGGUGAUGGAUGGGGAUGCGUCUGAUUAGCGUGUCGGCGGGGUAACGGCCCACCAAGGCGACGAUCAGUAGGGGUUCUGAGAGGAAGGCCCCCCACAUGGGAACUGAGACACGGUCCAAACUCCUACGGGAGGCAGCAGUGAGAAAUAUUGGUCAAUGGACGAGAGUCUGAACCAGCCAAGUAGCGUGCAGGAUGACGGCCCUAUGGGUUGUAAACUGCUUUUAUAAGGGAAUAAAGUGGGCCUCGUGGGGCUUUUUGCAUGUACCUUAUGAAUAAGGACCGGCUAAUUCCGUGCCAGCCGCCGCGGUAA
This 508-nucleotide ribosomal RNA is filed under the name uncultured bacterium. RNAcentral's name for it is "partial 16S ribosomal RNA". It matches the Rfam family "Bacterial small subunit ribosomal RNA", at positions 28 to 523 of the family's 1533-position model. The record is from RNAcentral.